RNAcentral lists this ribosomal RNA (303 nucleotides) under Lysinibacillus sphaericus. Its description in RNAcentral is "bacterial LSU rRNA". It matches the Rfam family "Bacterial large subunit ribosomal RNA", at positions 1652 to 1955 of the family's 2925-position model. The record is from RNAcentral. Lineage: Bacteria; Bacillati; Bacillota; Bacilli; Caryophanales; Bacillaceae.
AACCGACACAGGUAGUCGAGGAGAGAAUCCUAAGGUGUGCGAGAGAACUCUCGUUAAGGAACUCGGCAAAAUGACCCCGUAACUUCGGGAGAAGGGGUGCUCUAGUAGGGUGAAAGCCCGAGAGAACCGCAGUGAAUAGGCCCAGGCGACUGUUUAGCAAAAACACAGGUCUCUGCAAAACCGUAAGGUGACGUAUAGGGGCUGACGCCUGCCCGGUGCUGGAAGGUUAAGAGGAGUGCUUAGCGCAAGCGAAGGUUCGAAGUGAAGCCCCAGUAAACGGCGGCCGUAACUAUAACUCCUAAG